GGUGGAAUGGCUCAGUUGGUAAAGCAGUUGCCUUGCAAGCAUGAGGACCUGGGUUUGAUUUCCCAGUCUUGCUC
This 74-nucleotide transfer RNA is filed under the name Mus musculus (house mouse). It matches the Rfam family "tRNA". Rfam says of the family: Transfer RNA (tRNA) molecules are approximately 80 nucleotides in length. Their secondary structure includes four short double-helical elements and three loops (D, anti-codon, and T loops). Lineage: Eukaryota; Metazoa; Chordata; Mammalia; Rodentia; Muridae. The record is from Rfam by way of RNAcentral.